GUACCACCGACGAGUCCCAGACUAGGACGAAACAGCUUUCCAGUAU
RNAcentral lists this non-coding RNA (46 nucleotides) under Trichobilharzia regenti. The record is from RNAcentral. Lineage: Eukaryota; Metazoa; Platyhelminthes; Trematoda; Strigeidida; Schistosomatidae.